This is a long non-coding RNA of Ctenocephalides felis (cat flea), 139 nucleotides long. RefSeq lists it as uncharacterized. The transcript has 3 exons. Lineage: Eukaryota; Metazoa; Arthropoda; Insecta; Siphonaptera; Pulicidae. The record is from RefSeq and is a predicted model, not a curated record.
UCACGCGGACCGGAAUAAUAUAUUAAGGGUGUUAUAGCGAAACUUUUUCAAGUUAUCAAGUUAAUAAUAUAACAAUAUUAAGAAUAUUUCCUUUGUACCAUCUUAUAUUGUUACAAAAAUGGAUGUUUUGUCAAGCACG